GACGAACGCUGGCGGCGUGCUUAACACAUGCAAGUCGAACGGAAAGGCCCUGCUUUUGUGGGGUGCUCGAGUGGCGAACGGGUGAGUAACACGUGAGUAACCUGCCCUUGACUUUGGGAUAACUUCAGGAAACUGGGGCUAAUACCGGAUAGGAGCUCCUGCUGCAUGGUGGGGGUUGGAAAGUUUCGGCGGUUGGGGCUGGACUCGCGGCUUAUCAGCUUGUUGGUGGGGUAGUGGCUUACCAAGGCUUUGACGGGUAGCCGGCCUGAGAGGGUGACCGGCCACAUUGGGACUGAGAUACGGCCCAGACUCCUACGGGAGGCAGCAGUGGGGAAUAUUGCACAAUGGGCGGAAGCCUGAUGCAGCAACGCCGCGUGCGGGAUGACGGCCUUCGGGUUGUAAACCGCCUUCGCCUGUGACGAAGCGUGAGUGACGGUAAUGGGUAAAGAAGCACCGGCUAACUACGUG
Molecule: ribosomal RNA, 468 nt
Filed under: uncultured bacterium
Lineage: Bacteria
Description: partial 16S ribosomal RNA
Rfam family: Bacterial small subunit ribosomal RNA
Source: RNAcentral